GAUGAACGCUGGCGGCGUGCUUAACACAUGCAAGUCGAACGGGAAAUAUUUCAUUGAGACUUCGGUGGAUUUGAUUUAUUUCUAGUGGCGGACGGGUGAGUAACGCGUGGGUAACCUGCCUUAUACAGGGGGAUAACAGUCAGAAAUUGCUGCUAAUACCGCAUAAGCGCACAGAGCUGCAUGUCUCAGUGUGCAAAACUCCGGUGGUAUAAGAUGGACCCGCGUUGGAUUCGCUAGUUGGUGGGGUAACGGCCCACCAAGGCGACGAUCCAUAGCCGGGCUGAGAGGGUGAACGGCCACAUUGGGACUGAGACACGGCCGAGACUCAUACGGGAGGCAGCAGUGGGGAAUAUUGCACAAUGGGGGAAACCCUGAUGCAGCGACGCGGCGUGAAGGAAGAAGUAUCUCGGUAAGUAAACUUCUAUCAGCAGGGAAGAUAGUGACGGUACCUGACUAAGAAGCCACGGCUAACUACGUG
This 478-nucleotide ribosomal RNA is filed under the name uncultured bacterium. RNAcentral's name for it is "partial 16S ribosomal RNA". It matches the Rfam family "Bacterial small subunit ribosomal RNA", at positions 28 to 507 of the family's 1533-position model. The record is from RNAcentral.